Non-coding RNA from Camellia sinensis, 409 nucleotides. The record is from RefSeq and is a predicted model, not a curated record. NCBI's taxonomy places the organism in Eukaryota, Viridiplantae, Streptophyta, Magnoliopsida, Ericales, Theaceae.
AAGUCUUUCAUGGUGGCCAAUCCAAAUUUUUCAUCCCAAGCCUCCGCUAUGACUACCACUCAGUUAGGUUUGUCUGGUUCAUCAUCUUCAGGAUCGGGUAUCCAAGAGGCAGAUUGGGAUCGGGCGUAGAGUUGGAGAACUAUAUAUCUUGGACAGCUUGCAUGUUCCUCCAGAAGUGUCUUCUACUGCAUUGUCUUCUUUUUGUUUAAACAAUAAGUCAUCUUUGUUUUAUAUUUGGCAUUCUAGGUUAGGUCAUCUGUCGAGUGAUCGGUUGAGGAUGUUAGUUAGGUCUGGACAUUUAGGCAAUUUUCCCAUUAGUGAUAUUUCUGAGUGUCGUGGUUGUAAACUGGCUAAAAUGUCUGCUCUUCCUUUUAAUAAAAGUAGUUCUAUUUCAUCUUCUCCUUUUCAA